This 272-nucleotide long non-coding RNA is filed under the name Ananas comosus (pineapple). Its description in RNAcentral is "long non-coding RNA (ACOM_LNC026370)". The record is from RNAcentral. Lineage: Eukaryota; Viridiplantae; Streptophyta; Magnoliopsida; Poales; Bromeliaceae.
GAAAUAUAGAAAAACUAUUCCCGUAAAUAUCAGUUUUUUUUUCUGACUUUUAAAAAUGGCCAAUUUGCAUAAAAAAUUUAUUAAAUUUUGAGCUUUUACAAAACUGAACCGUCUUUUUUGAUUUUACAGAUUCGGUCCGAAUUUUCAGCAAAUUAACUAAAAUACCAUUAUUACUUUUUCUUUCUCCUCUUUCUCUUUUUUUUUUUUUUUUCGUUCAUUUUUUUUUCUCUCGCCGAAAAAAGCAGCGGAGGCAGAGAUCGAGGCGGAAACGG